Molecule: ribosomal RNA, 381 nt
Filed under: uncultured bacterium
Lineage: Bacteria
Description: bacterial SSU rRNA
Rfam family: Bacterial small subunit ribosomal RNA
Source: RNAcentral
GACGAACGCUGGCGGCGUGCCUAACACAUGCAAGUUGAGCGACGAACCAGGGCUUGCCCUGGGGCAAAGCAGCGAACGGGUGAGUAACACGUGGGUAACGUGCCCCGAUAACCGGGACAACCCGAGGAAACUCGGGCUAAUACCGGAUGUGCUCGUCGGACAUCAGUCCGGCGCGUAAAGGAAGCUUCGGCCUCCGUAUCGGGAGCGGCCCGCGGCCCAUUAGCUAGUUGGUGAGGUAACGGCUCACCAAGGCCGCGAUGGGUAGCUGGUCUGAGAGGACGAUCAGCCACAUUGGGACUGAGACACGGCCCAGACUCCUACGGGAGGCAGCAGUGGGGAAUCUUGCGCAAUGCGCGAAAGCGUGACGCAGCAACGCCGCGU